GGAUGGAUGGCCGAGUGGUCUAAGGCGCUGUGUUCAGGUUGCAUACGCAUCGUGCAUCGCAGUGGGAAACCGCGUGGGUUCGAAUCCCACUCCAUUCA
Tirmania nivea is the source of this 98-nucleotide non-coding RNA. The record is from the annotation of a GenBank genome assembly. NCBI's taxonomy places the organism in Eukaryota, Fungi, Ascomycota, Pezizomycetes, Pezizales, Pezizaceae.